This 378-nucleotide ribosomal RNA is filed under the name uncultured bacterium. RNAcentral describes it as "bacterial SSU rRNA". It matches the Rfam family "Bacterial small subunit ribosomal RNA", at positions 523 to 898 of the family's 1533-position model. The record is from RNAcentral.
AUACGUAGGGGGCAAGCGUUAUCCGGAUUCAUUGGGCGUAAAGCGCGUGUAGGCGGCUUGUUAAGUCAGAUGUGAAAACCGGGGGCUCAACCCGCGGCUUGCAUCUGAAACUGGCAGGCUUGAGUCUGGUAGAGGAAAGUGGAAUUCCUAGUGUAGCGGUGAAAUGCGCAGAUAUUAGGAGGAACACCAGUGGCGAAGACGGCUUUCUGGGCCACGACUGACGCUGAGACGCGAAAGCUAGGGGAGCGAACAGGAUUAGAUACCCUGGUAGUCCUAGCUGUAAACGAUGGGCACUAGGUGUGGGGGGUCAUCGACUCCCUCCGUGCCGUAGCUAACGCAUUAAGUGCCCCGCCUGGGGAGUACGGCCGCAAGGCUAAA